CUGCGGCCUGCUCCAUUCUUUGCAUACCCUGGGCUCUGUCAUGUAUCACAAAGGGUUUUACAUUCACAUGGGUGGAUGACAUUGUCAGCACAUCCAAGCUCUGUCCAUCUUGUAUAAAUAGUUGCUCUGGACCUAGUGAAGACCAAUGAAGAGAAGACAAGAAGUAUGGUACAGAAUCCUUAUGAUUGGGCAUAAACCAGCUCUGAUCCUCUAAGGUGUGGUCUUUGCCUUAAAGAUCCCAAAUAGCUGCUGGAGUUCCAGCCUCACAUGCACUAACAGAAUGGAGAAAGCAAAGAAUGGCAUGAUCCCACCUUUAAAGAACACUUCCCAGAAUUUUCUAAAAAUCUUUCUUUAUAUUAUCAUUGACUAGAACAUAGUCAUAUGUCGACACCUA
RNAcentral lists this long non-coding RNA (394 nucleotides) under Homo sapiens (human). Its description in RNAcentral is "HSALNT0364727". The record is from RNAcentral. Lineage: Eukaryota; Metazoa; Chordata; Mammalia; Primates; Hominidae.